GUUUCCUUGGUGGGUUCGCCCACCACUAGGACAAACAUAAACCUUUUGUAAUUGCAAUCAGCGUCAGUAACAAAUUAAUAAUUACAACUUUCAACAACGGAUCUCUUGGUUCUGGCAUCGAUGAAGAACGCAGCGAAAUGCGAUAAGUAGUGUGAAUUGCAGAAUUCAGUGAAUCAUCGAAUCUUUGAACGCACAUUGCGCCCUUUGGUAUUCCAAAGGGCAUGCCUGUUCGAGCGUCAUUUGUACCCUCAAGCUUUGCUUGGUGUUGGGCGUCUUGUCUCUAGCUUUGCUGGAGACUCGCCUUAAAGUAAUUGGCAGCCGGCCUACUGGUUUCGGAGCGCAGCACAAGUCGCACUCUCUAUCAGCAAAGGUCUAGCAUCCAUUAAGCCUUUUUUUCAACUUUUGACCUCGGAUCAGGUAGGGAUACCCGCUGA
RNAcentral lists this ribosomal RNA (434 nucleotides) under Alternaria sp. RNAcentral's name for it is "eukaryotic LSU rRNA". The stretch from base 86 to 239 matches the Rfam family "5.8S ribosomal RNA". The record is from RNAcentral. Lineage: Eukaryota; Fungi; Ascomycota; Dothideomycetes; Pleosporales; Pleosporaceae.